Molecule: ribosomal RNA, 495 nt
Filed under: uncultured bacterium
Lineage: Bacteria
Description: partial 16S ribosomal RNA
Rfam family: Bacterial small subunit ribosomal RNA
Source: RNAcentral
GAUGAACGCUGGCGGCGUGCCUAAUACAUGCAAGUCGAGCGAACAGACGAGGAGCUUGCUCCUCUGACGUUAGCGGCGGACGGGUGAGUAACACGUGGAUAACCUACCUAUAAGACUGGGAUAACUUCGGGAAACCGGAGCUAAUACCGGAUAAUAUAUUGAACCGCAUGGUUCAAUAGUGAAGGACGGUUUUGCUGUCACUUAUAGAUGGAUCCGCGCCGCAUUAGCUAGUUGGUAAGGUAACGGCUUACCAAGGCAACGAUGCGUAGCCGACCUGAGAGGGGGAUCGGCCACAGUGAAACUGAGACACGGGCCAGACUCCUACGGGGGGCAGCAGUAGGGAAUCUUCCGCAAGGGGCGAAGGCCUGACGGAGCAACGCCGCGUGGGUGAUGAAGGUCUUCGGAUCGGAAAACUCUGUUAUUAGGGAAGAAAAAAUGUGUAAGUAACUAUGCACGUCUUGACGGUACCAAAUCAGAAAGCCACGGCUAACUACG